This 425-nucleotide ribosomal RNA is filed under the name bacterium. RNAcentral's name for it is "bacterial SSU rRNA". It matches the Rfam family "Bacterial small subunit ribosomal RNA", at positions 354 to 776 of the family's 1533-position model. RNAcentral also lists the same sequence under 2 other names. The record is from RNAcentral.
GUGAGGAAUAUUGGUCAAUGGACGAGAGUCUGAACCAGCCAAGUAGCGUGAAGGAUGACUGCCCUAUGGGUUGUAAACUUCUUUUAUAUGGGAAUAAAAUGUUCCACGUGUGGGAUUUUGUAUGUACCAUAUGAAUAAGGAUCGGCUAACUCCGUGCCAGCAGCCGCGGUAAUACGGAGGAUCCGAGCGUUAUCCGGAUUUAUUGGGUUUAAAGGGAGCGUAGGUGGAUUGUUAAGUCAGUUGUGAAAGUUUGCGGCUCAACCGUAAAAUUGCAGUUGAAACUGGCAGUCUUGAGUACAGUAGAGGUGGGCGGAAUUCGUGGUGUAGCGGUGAAAUGCUUAGAUAUCACGAAGAACUCCGAUUGCGAAGGCAGCUCACUGGACUGCAACUGACACUGAGGCUCGAAAGUGUGGGUAUCAAACAGG